RNAcentral lists this unclassified non-coding RNA (262 nucleotides) under uncultured Tubeufiales. RNAcentral's name for it is "sequence contains 5.8S rRNA gene, ITS2, 28S rRNA gene". The record is from RNAcentral. Lineage: Eukaryota; Fungi; Ascomycota; Dothideomycetes.
AACGCACAUUGCGCCCUUUGGUAUUCCGAGGGGCAUGCCUGUUCGAGCGUCAUUUCAACCCUCAAGCUUCUGCUUGGUAUUGGGCUUUCAUCCACUAAUAUUUAGAGGAUGUGCCUCAAACUAAUAGGCGGUUAUACUCAACUCCUUUGCGUAGUUAUAUUUUCUUUCGCUCAGGUGGAUUUUUUGGGUAGAACUUGCCUAAGAACCUUUUAUUUUUCAAAGGUUUGACCUCGGAUCAGGUAGGGAUACCCGCUGAACUUAA